GUGAGUUCAAGCCCCACGUUGCACUACAUGCUGGGCAUGGAGCCUACUUAAAAAAAAAAAAAUUGAUCCAUGGAAGAGGUCAAAAUAGCAAUAGGAACAGCAGUUUGGAAGAAGCUGAUUUAACCUUCACAGAUGACUUUGAGGGGUUCAAGACUUGAGUAAGUGCAGAUGUGGUAGAAAUAGCAAAAGAAUUAGAAUUAGAACUGGAGCCUGGAGACAUAUCUGAAUUGUUAUAAUCUCAGGAUAAAACUUUUAACGGAUGAGGAGUUGCUCCUUAUUGAUGAGCAAAGAAAGUGGUUUCUUGAGAUGGAAUCUACUCCUGGUGAAGAUGCCGUGGAAACUGCUGAAAUGACAACAAAGAAUUUAGAAAUUACAUAAACUUAGUUGAUAAAGCAGCGGCAGGGUUUGAGAGAAUUGACUCCAAUUUCAAAAGAAAUUCUGUGGGUAAAAUGCUAUCAAACAGCAUCAAAUGUUACAGAGAAAUUGUUCGUGAUGAAAGGAGGAGUCAACUGAUAUAGCGAACUUCAUUGUCUUAUUUUAAGAACUUGCCCCAGCCACCCCAGCCUUUAGCACCCACCACCCUGAUCAGUCAGGAGCCAUCAGUUUCAACAGCAAGACCCUCCACCGGCAAAAAGAUUACAACUCGCUGAAAGCUCAGAUGAUGGCUAGUAUUUUUUAAUUAAGUGCUGUGGAGCUGAGCGUGCACCAUCUAGAAGGGAAUGUCAGACUUUACUGAUCUUUUACAACUGCCACAUCUACCCUCAAGAAGCCCAUCUGGCAUGGGAGGCCAAGACUAGUCCAGAUACCACCACCAAGAGAAUACCAAAAGACCUAAUUACCAUAGGAGAGAUGGCAGAUUUUCCUUCUUGCCAAUACCUACCCUUCUCCUGAGCGGUAUUACAGGAGUUUGCAUGAGUCUCCAACUUGGAAAUAUCAGGUAACUAUAAGCAGAUUUGACUUGGCUUUAUUAGUUGCUCGAACCAUUGCUUGAAUGGAGCACAGUGUCUUAGUGGUACCUAUUGUGUAGAUCAGUAUGGUCCAGAACUUUCUGUGAUGAUGGAAACGUUCUGUGCUGUGCAGUUGGGAUGCUACCUAACCGUGGCCAUUGAGCAUAUGAGAUCUAGGGCUAGAAAUGUACUUUUAUUUAAAUAACCACAUGUGCUUAGUGUAUUGGCCAGUAAGGCCUAGUUGAAGGAUUUGACAAGUGAAAUAGGAACAGAGUUGCUAGGGCUGGCACAGACCCCCAUGUGUACUGUGGGAACCCAGAGUAAUGGGACUAGCCACACAGUAACGCCACCCUGAUUCAGGUUUACUGACUGAAUCUGAAGGAAUAAUAUAUAGCCAGAGAGACCCCUGUUGAAAAUACUAUCCAAGACCUUGAAGUAGGGGACGGUGGCAAGAGCCAGCUGGGAGAAAAUGUCUGGGCUGGUGAGGGGAUUCCCAGCUCUCUCAGCUGGGCAACGAGAGGUUAAUUUUUAGCCACAGAACUUCCUUUUUCAAAUG
Leptonychotes weddellii (Weddell seal) is the source of this 1503-nucleotide non-coding RNA. NCBI's taxonomy places the organism in Eukaryota, Metazoa, Chordata, Mammalia, Carnivora, Phocidae. The record is from RefSeq and is a predicted model, not a curated record.